CAGUAGCCGCGGUAAUACGAAGGGGGCUAGCGUUGUUCGGAUUUACUGGGCGUAAAGCGCACGUAGGCGGAUCGAUCAGUCAGGGGUGAAAUCCCAGAGCUCAACUCUGGAACUGCCUUUGAUACUGUCGAUCUGGAGUAUGGAAGAGGUGUGUGGAAUUCCGAGUGUAGAGGUGAAAUUCGUAGAUAUUGGGAAGAACACCAGUGGCGAAGGCGGCUCACUGGACCGACACUGACGCUGAGGCGCGAAAGCGUGGGGAGCAAACAGGAUUAGAUACCCGAGUAGUCCCUGUCUCUUAUAC
Molecule: ribosomal RNA, 301 nt
Filed under: uncultured bacterium
Lineage: Bacteria
Description: partial 16S ribosomal RNA
Rfam family: Bacterial small subunit ribosomal RNA
Source: RNAcentral